RNAcentral lists this long non-coding RNA (1452 nucleotides) under Equus caballus (horse). Its description in RNAcentral is "lncRNA (ENSECAG00000058959.1)". Lineage: Eukaryota; Metazoa; Chordata; Mammalia; Perissodactyla; Equidae. The record is from RNAcentral.
CCCUUCCACCAUGUGAGGACACAACCAGAAGUCUUUGACCUGGGCGUGGGCCUCACCCAAUGCUGCUAGCACCUUGAUCUUGGACUUCCAGCCUCCGGAACUGUGAGAAAUGAAUGUCUGCUGUUUAUUAGCCACGCAGACUGUGGAAUUUUGUAUAGUCCAGGAUGGACUAAGACACCUAUCUCCAGCAUUUCUGCAUGUGACUGGGUGUUCCAGUACCCAUGUAAGGUGCCAGUGUUGCUUCUGGGGUGUCACUAUUUUCUUGGCUGAGCUUCUAUCAAGAAACUUGUAUCAUUGUUCUUUUGAACCCUCUUGGCUGGCACAAACUGCCCGGUUUAUAAGCACACUGACUACAACGUGGAAGAAGAAAGUUCUAUAUUAAAACAAAAUGAACAAACAUGGUAGACCCAAUGGUCGUUGGUCACAGUGAUGUGAACUUCCUCUGAUCAGGCUCCAUUCAAGAACUUCCGAGUCCAAGGUGGAUUUACCACGAAUCUAACUGAGCUUAGGCUUCAGGGCCCUCACUUUCACGUGUGCCCUUGCCCUGUAUUGUCACUUGAAUUCCCUUUUGUGAAGGGGCUCCCUGAAUUGCCUGAGCUACAGACCCCACAGACUCUGGAUUGGCCCCUGUUCCCGACCAUGUGACUGUCCUUAAUGAGUAAAAGCUGCAGAUCCUAUUCUGACGGCUGCUGCCCCGUCAGCAGAGUGGUUUCAGCUCUGGAGUCCCCUGAACGACUCCCCGUCCUCCAGAAGGAGUUCUGUCACGGAGACUUUGGGAUUCCACUGUGGCUCUGCUCAAACCAGCGCUGCCAUGACCGGGCGAAACGUGAACCGCAGCUUCAGUUUGACCACACUUCACUUCCACCCAAAUUGGAAGAGAUCACCUCGAUGCCACCAGGAACAGGGAGCACGUAAAAUAGAUAAUCUACGCAGAGGAGGGCACUCAUGGCCAACACAAUCCAAUCUGGGAAAUAAAGAUAAAUCUACUGCCACCACCACUUUGUAUCACUGAAGGACAAUGAUUUGAUUUGCAAAGAUCUGAUGAGCUGAUUGACAAUAUGGGUCCUGGGUGGCUGAUGUGAGGAGAGAAGCAAUGGAACAGACUGGCCUGCAAGGAUUGCUAAGCGGGAAAGUAGGAAACCUUGAGCUGGAGUCGCUGAGUCCCUUCUCCCACCCCGCAGCGUCCACGACCAGUAGGAGGACCCGCCACCUCAUUCCAGGGGCUGGCGCUGCUUUCCCUUCUGUGUUGGACCCGCACGUCCGCUUUCGUCUAAGAAAUGAUUAUUUACCAUUAAAUCUGGUCCCUGCCGUGGCCAGUCUGCAAUUUCAGUAUCUUACAGUCUGCAGCAAUUUCUACUCAAAAGACUUGGGCUUUUAACUUUUUUUUUCCUGAAAAUUCAAAUAUUAAAAAAAAAAAUGUUCUUUUUCUGAUUAUAAAAGUAAAAUAAGGUC